This 69-nucleotide transfer RNA is filed under the name Schizocardium brasiliense. RNAcentral's name for it is "tRNA-Asn". It matches the Rfam family "tRNA". Rfam says of the family: Transfer RNA (tRNA) molecules are approximately 80 nucleotides in length. Their secondary structure includes four short double-helical elements and three loops (D, anti-codon, and T loops). Further hydrogen bonds mediate the characteristic L-shaped molecular structure. tRNAs have two regions of fundamental functional importance: the anti-codon, which is responsible for specific mRNA codon recognition, and the 3' end, to which the tRNAs corresponding amino acid is attached (by aminoacyl-tRNA synthetases). tRNAs cope with the degeneracy of the genetic code in two manners: having more than one tRNA (with a specific anti-codon) for a particular amino acid; and 'wobble' base-pairing, i.e. permitting non-standard base-pairing at the 3rd anti-codon position. Lineage: Eukaryota; Metazoa; Hemichordata; Enteropneusta; Spengelidae. The record is from RNAcentral.
UGAGUAGGAGCUUGGGGAAAGCAUUUGGCUGUUAACCAAGAGAUGCAGGAUCGAGGCCUGCCUACUUAG